UGGGGAAUAUUGGGCAAUGGGCGAAAGCCUGACCCAGCAACGCCGCGUGAUUGAAGAAGGCCUUCGGGUUGUAAAGAUCUGUCCUAUGGGACGAAAAAAAUGACGGUACCAUAGGAGGAAGCCCCGGCUAACUACGUGCCAGCAGCCGCGGUAAUACGUAGAGGGCGAGCGUUGUCCGGAAUUACUGGGCGUAAAGGGUGCGUAGGCGGUUUUUUAAGUCAGAUGUGAAAUACCCAGGCUUAACUUGGGGGGUGCAUCUGAUACUGGAGGACUUGAGUGCAGGAGAGGAAAGUGGAAUUCCUAGUGUAGCGGUGAAAUGCGUAGAUAUUAGGAGGAACACCAGUGGCGAAGGCGACUUUCUGGACUGUAACUGACGCUGAGGCACGAAAGCGUGGGGAGCAAACAG
RNAcentral lists this ribosomal RNA (406 nucleotides) under uncultured bacterium. RNAcentral's name for it is "bacterial SSU rRNA". It matches the Rfam family "Bacterial small subunit ribosomal RNA", at positions 355 to 775 of the family's 1533-position model. The record is from RNAcentral.